GCCAUCCUAGCUCAGUUGGUAGAGCAGCUGUUUCGUAAAUAGCAGGUCGUGGGUUCGAGCCCCAUGGUUGGCU
RNAcentral lists this transfer RNA (73 nucleotides) under Niabella drilacis. It matches the Rfam family "tRNA". From Rfam's summary of the family: Transfer RNA (tRNA) molecules are approximately 80 nucleotides in length. Their secondary structure includes four short double-helical elements and three loops (D, anti-codon, and T loops). RNAcentral also lists the same sequence under 3 other names. Lineage: Bacteria; Pseudomonadati; Bacteroidota; Chitinophagia; Chitinophagales; Chitinophagaceae. The record is from Rfam by way of RNAcentral.